GGCACUUUGGCGGAGUGGUUAACGCGCGGGCCUGCUAAGCCCGUCUCCUCGGAGGCCAGGGUUCGAAUCCCUGAGGUGUCG
The sequence is a transfer RNA, 81 nucleotides long. It matches the Rfam family "tRNA". From Rfam's summary of the family: Transfer RNA (tRNA) molecules are approximately 80 nucleotides in length. Their secondary structure includes four short double-helical elements and three loops (D, anti-codon, and T loops). The record is from Rfam.